Long non-coding RNA from Cyprinus carpio (common carp), 1355 nucleotides. The record is from Ensembl. Lineage: Eukaryota; Metazoa; Chordata; Actinopteri; Cypriniformes; Cyprinidae.
UAUUAAUGGUAAAAGUUUGCUGUUUUUUCAGUAUGAACUCAUGAUCUCAUGAACUUUAAAAUAGCACCUUUUCUCUGAGACGUGCUGAAAUUGAACGCGUCCCAUGCUGAAGUGUCAAAGCUACCCAGAGCUUUUGUGUUUAAAAUGAAAAAUAAUGAAACACCAAACAGUGCUUACAGCACCUUUAAUUUAAUGAAUAAAAGAAUGACCCUAGCCUUAUAGUUUUGAUUUAGCAUUUGAAGUGAAUAUCAGAGUUUAUAAUAUACCAAACAGAUCAUAUUUCUAUCCGUCUCAUUAAUAUAUUUUCUUUGAAUAUACAAGAUUUCCAAUUCAUUGGUCGCCAAAUAACUAGAAGAAUAUGUAAAUCUAUUUGCAUUGCAAACCACCAUGUUCAUGAUUAUGAUAAUAAACUAAAAUAAUAUGACAGCAGAUGCCAGUUUGCAAUAUCAAGCAGCAUAAAUGACUGUUUUUGCACAGCUAAAGUAUAACCGGAUGACACUGGAAGCCUUGAACACUGCAUCCACUCUUAUGGUAAGAUAAUUUAGUCCUCGAUUAGCUUCUCCAUAUCGUCUGCUUUCAGUGGAGGAGAGUCCAGAGCCCCCAGAGGAGCGCGUGUGAGACGGGUACACAGCAGCUACUGAACACAUCCGUGUGAAAGUGCCAAUCUCAAGUUCUCACUCGUCUUUCCUCCAUUCACUUUAUUUCAUGGAGUAUGAGAAUAGACAUUUUUGUCUGGAUGUCUUAGCGGGGCUCCUCGCGCAGAUUUACAUUCUGCAGCGCUGGAUCUGUGUGGAGGCUGAAGAAAGGAAUUUAGGGCUGAGGAUGGGUGCUCAUCACCACCGCACUACUGGAUGAAGACAUAAAACUUUAUUUCCCGCCCAUUCCCAUGAAGCAGACUCUUAAAUAUCUGUGCAUAAUAUUGAAAUAGAAGUCAAAUAUAUUGUUUGUAUGUAUAUAAUCAACAUUUUUAUAAUUUUCAAACGUUUUACAUUUUAUCAUAUCAUUCUCAAUGUAUUGUAGUUCUUUCCCUCGAAUGACUAACACAGUCUCGUAACACCUUUUUCUUCAGUUAAUAAUGUUGUGACAUUAUAGAUAUAGAUAGGCCUGUAUAUCAGCCUAGUGCAAGGUUUAAAAACAAUAAGCUUUUGGUAUUCUAUCCAUGUAUCUCUAAAUUAUGGGGUGUAUUCAUUGGAAUAGAUUAAAAGACAGCUAAUGUUUGUAAUGUCAUGGAAUGUACGACUCCCCACUUUUUAUUCAAAAUUAUUUAAUAUAGCAAUUUUGCAUUUUCCAAUUCUGUCUAAACAUGUCCUAACUUUUGCCUGUCCAAUUAAUAAAACAAUAAUUCGUGAAAUAAA